This 1511-nucleotide long non-coding RNA is filed under the name Mytilus galloprovincialis (Mediterranean mussel). Lineage: Eukaryota; Metazoa; Mollusca; Bivalvia; Mytilida; Mytilidae. The record is from RNAcentral.
CUUCUACCAAUGUUGCUCAUCGUUACUGUGAAGUUUCAUUAAAUUUGGAGCAUUUCCAUAUUUUGGAAAUUUUUGGUGUAGUAUCCAUGGCAACAUAGCAGUUCCAAUGAUUGCCAAAAUCAUCCCAAAACCAGUGUAUAGUGGGCACCUACAUUGUAUCAAAAUCUAAAGAUUUUAAGCAUAACCAUUUUCAAAUAAUUGGCCGAACUCUAAAAUAAUAUUUUUUCACCAUUUUCUCGUUUCCAUGGUGAUGGCAGCCAUUUUUUAAUUCCAAAGUCAAAAAGUCUAAAGGAAAUUCAGGGUUCUUUGUUAUAGUGCACCAUCAUUCAGAUUGGUUCCUUUAGCUCUGAGAAAGCGGGCGGACAAAAUUAGGUGGAAGAAAAAUAAUAAUAACUAGAUUUGCCAUUGCAAGCAAUAGCGGAUGUCACCCUUCCCCCUAUUGCCACUAAGCGGCAGCCAUUUUCAAAUUUUCAAAGUCAUAAGUCUCAUCUUUACUUGUCAGUUAACAAUAAUAUCAAGUUUCAUUAAGUUCAAAGCAUUUUGAAAAUUUUUGACAUUUUCGCAGUUUCCAUGGCAACGGUGGCCAUUUUGGAAAUUCCAACUUCAAAAGUCUCAUGCAGACUUGACAGUCAACAAUCCUAUUAAGUUAUAUCAAUUUUGGAGUAUUUUGAAAUUUUUGAAAUUUUUGACAUUUUGAUUGGUUCCUAUGGCAACAGAGACCAUUCCCAAAAUUUAAUGGCAUAUACCACAUUGGUACAUGGGAGGGACCAUACCAUCAAAGUUUCAAUCAAUUUGACCUACCAUUUUAAGAAAGUAAAUGCCACUUUUAGGUUUUUUGAGCAUUUUGACCUGUUUUGCAUUGUUUCCAUGGUAACAGCAGAUAUUUUCGAAAUUCCAACGCCAAUUUCCACAUCUACCAAUGUUGGUCAUCGUUACUGUGAAGUUUUAUAAAAUAUGGAGCAUUUUCAUAUUUUUGAAUUUUUUGGUGUAGUAUCCAUGGCAACAUAGCAGUUCCAAUGAGUGCCAAAAUCAUCCAAAACCAGUAUAUAGUUGGCACCUACAUUGUAUUAAAAUCUAAAGAUUUUAAGCUUAAGCAUUCUCAAAUAAUUCAAGGAACUCCAAAAUUAUAUUUUUUCACCAUUUUUCCGUUUCCAUGGUGAUGGCAGCCAUUUUUUAGUUCCAAAGUUGCACAGACUCUGGGGAGUCAGGGUUCCUUGUUAUAGUGCACCAUCAUUCGGAUUGGUACUUUUGGCUCUGAGAAAGCGGGCGGACAAAAUUAGGUGGAAGUAUAAUAAUAAUAAUAAUACAGAAAAAGAAACAGAGGAAAAGCAAUAUGUCACCCGACAUUGUCGAUCGGGUGACAUAAUAAUAAUAAUACAGAAAAAGAAACAGAGGAAAAGCAAUAUGUCACCCGACAUUGUCGAUCGGGUGACAUAAUAAUAAUAAUAGGGAAAAAGAAACAGAGGAAAAGCAAUAUGUCACCCGACUUUGUCGAUCGGGUGACAUAAUAA